This 243-nucleotide ribosomal RNA is filed under the name uncultured Actinomycetales bacterium. RNAcentral describes it as "partial 16S ribosomal RNA". It matches the Rfam family "Bacterial small subunit ribosomal RNA", at positions 88 to 334 of the family's 1533-position model. Lineage: Bacteria; Bacillati; Actinomycetota; Actinomycetes; Actinomycetales. The record is from RNAcentral.
UACUCGAGUGGCGAACGGGUGAGUAACACGUGGGUGAUCUGCCCUGCACUUCGGGAUAAGCUUGGGAAACUGGGUCUAAUACCGGAUAGGAGCCAUCUUUAGUGUGGUGGUUGGAAAGUUUUUUCGGUGUAGGAUGAGCUCGCGGCCUAUCAGCUUGUUGGUGGGGUAAUUGCCUACCAAGGCGGCGACGGGUAGCCGGCCUGAGAGGGUGUACGGCCACAUUGGGACUGAGAUACGGCCCAG